GAGCAUACUAUCCUAUGAUAAAUAAGAUUUCGGCUCUUACCACAUUGACUCUCCUCAAUUAUGCUCU
RNAcentral lists this transfer RNA (67 nucleotides) under Phyllochaetopterus sp. AW-2015. RNAcentral's name for it is "tRNA-Arg". The record is from RNAcentral. Lineage: Eukaryota; Metazoa; Annelida; Polychaeta; Chaetopteridae.